CAGCAGCCACGGUAAUACGAAGGGGGCUAGCGUUGUUCGGAUUUACUGGGCGUAAAGCGCACGUAGGCGGACUUUUAAGUCAGGGGUGAAAUCCCGGGGCUCAACCCCGGAACUGCCUUUGAUACUGGAAGUCUUGAGUAUGGUAGAGGUGAGUGGAAUUCCGAGUGUAGAGGUGAAAUUCGUAGAUAUUCGGAGGAACACCAGUGGCGAAGGCGGCUCACUGGACCAUUACUGACGCUGAGGUGCGAAAGCGUGGGGAGCAAACAGGAUUAGAUACCGUGUAGUCCCUGUCUCUUAUACC
This 301-nucleotide ribosomal RNA is filed under the name uncultured bacterium. RNAcentral describes it as "partial 16S ribosomal RNA". It matches the Rfam family "Bacterial small subunit ribosomal RNA", at positions 509 to 808 of the family's 1533-position model. The record is from RNAcentral.